CCAAAGCAGCCCCUGAGGUAAGUCAGGGCUAGUCCACAUGGGUGUUGCAGUGAUGUCAUCUCCAGAGCACCGUCUUCUAGCAUACGGUGACUUGCACGCACACCACCCUCAUUUCUAUCCUGGGGCUCCCUAUGGUUUUUCAUAGGCCAAAGCACAUAAAAUAAAUUUCCCCUUCUGGGGGGUUCUGAUACAUUAUAAAUUAAUUCAUUUAUUUAUUUUCUCCCCUCUUGUCACUUUACCUUUCUCUCUGUGUUGCCUCCAGAAGCAGUACCCGGCCAGGGCAAUGAGAACCACCAGGAGAGCCAGGAUCACCCCCAGAACCACAGUCCAGGCAUCGACUCUUGGGAAAAACAGCUCUGCAAGAGAAAGUGUUAUUGACUUGGGAACAAAUAUGUACGUAAGAAUAUUAGAACAGCCAGAUGGGGUCAAACAAAUGUUCCAUGGAGCCCAGUAUCCUGUCUUCUGACAGUGGCCAAAGCCAGAUGCUGCAGAGGGAAUGAACGGAACAGGGCAAUAAUCAAGUGAUCCAUCCCCUGUCACCCACACCCAGCUUCUGGCAGUCAGAGGUUUAAGGACACCCAGAGCAAGGGGCCACAUCCCUGCCCAUCUUGGCUAGUAGCCAUUGGUGGACCCGUCCUCCAUGAACAUACCUGCUUCUUUUCUGAACCCAGUUAUACUUUUGGCCUUCACUAGAUGGCAAUGAGCUUCACAGGUUGACUGUGCGUUGUGUGAAGAAAUAUUUCUUUUAGUUUGCUUUAAACCUGCUGCCUAUUAGUUUCAUUCCUUGGUUCUUGUAUUAUGUGAAGGGGUACGUAACACUUCCUUGUUCACUUUCUCCACACCCGUCACAAUUUUAUAGACCUCUGCCCUAUCCCCCCUUAGCUGUCUCUUUCCCAAGCUGAAAAGUCCCAGUCAUUUUAAUUUCUCCUCAGAGUGAAGCUGUUCCAGGCCCUUAAACAUUUUUGUUGCCAUUCUCUGUACCUUUCCAUUUCUAAUAUAGCUUUUUUGAGAUGGGGCAACCAGAACUGCCUACAGUAUUCAAGAUGUGGGCGUACCAUGGGUUUAUAUAUAUUUAUUAUGAUAUUUACUGUCUUAUGAUCUACUCCCUUUCUAAUAGUUCCUAACAUUCUGUUCGCUUUUAUUCAUACCACUGCACACUGAGUGGAUGUUUUCAGAGAACUAUCCGCAAUGAGUCCAAGAUCUCUUUCUUGAGUAGAAACAGGUAAGUAAGGCCUGAUCAUUUUAUAUGUCUAGUUGGGAUUAUGUUUAUCAGUGUGCAUCACUUUGCAUUUAUCCACAUUGAAUUUCAUCUGCCACUGUGUUCCCCAGUUUUUUGAGAUCCCUUCAUAAUUCUUCACAGUCUGUUUUGGACUUAACUAUCUUGCGUAAUUUUGUAUCAUCUUCAAGUUUUACCAUCUCAUUGUUUACCUCUUUUUCAGACCUUUUAUUAGUAUGUUGAACAACACUGGUCCCAGUACAGAUUCCUGAAGGACAUCACGAUUUACCUCUCUUCUUUCUGAAAACUGACCAUCUAUUCCUACUCUUUGUGUCCUGUCUUUUAAGCAGAAGCAAUUAGAGGUCCCAGCUGAGACUGGGUCCCCAGCGGGCUGGGCGUCGCGCACACAUCCUAGGAGACAGUCUGUGCUGAAGAGUUUUCAGUCUCAACAGGCAUGAUGGAGAAAGGGCGAGCGAGGAAACAGAGGCACAGAGACUUGCCCAAAUUCUUGCACAGCUCAGUAGCAAAGGCAAGACUGGAACCCUGUCCCUUGGCGCUCAGUCGACGGCUCUAUCCACCAGGUAACCCUGCCUCUCACGUAUUGCUGGUCUAGCAUAUGUGCACCUGCUUCACAUUCUCCAGCGGCCCCAUAAUCCUGCCAGCUCCCGAGCAGGGACAAGGGACUGGCUUUCCCGUUGAUGAACACAGACCGUGCCUCUCGCCACAGACACUUCGCGGCAGGUCUGAAGGGGUGAAUAAGAACCUCUGGAAGGAGCUGUGCACAGUUUAACGGAUGGGCAGGGAGGCUAAACUCUUCCACUGCUUUCACUUGCAAAGGUCUGACCAAAGUCCAGCACCUGUGCUUUGCUUUCCAUCCCAGGGCUAUGAAGAGUGUGUGCCAGCGGUUACCAGUAACCAAACAGGUUUUCCAAAGCAGGGAACAUUUAUGGACAAAAGCCCGAGAGAGAAAAGUUACCACAAACCAAUCAAACAUCUUACACUUGUCGCAAAGCAUUCUCAUCUGGCACAUGGGGACAGACUCUCUGUCAAACCUUUCUCUAAGGGGUUCUCUCAGUUUGUAGCCCAAGAUCCCAGGCUUCUGGUUAGCUUAAAUCAGCUUUUCAUACUAAAAAUCUUCAUUCUCUUUGGUUUCUGGAACCUGCUCUGAACUAGUUUAAGCGCCUGGGGUGGUACUUCUCUGGAGCUGUUAUCUGUCCCACAAGAAAUUACGCCCCAUCAUUUGUAUAUCCUGCAGGAGAUGGGGUAACUCUCCCCCACGGAGUAGAUUACAAUCCGGAGCCCACAAAGAUACAUAUAGAACGGAUCGAUACUGUGAAGUUCCACUCCGUAUGCAUUAUGAAAAUAGGCUUAUGAAUCUGAAAAUAAAAGGAGUACUCUGAAUCUGAAAAUGACAUAGCUGGAAUGUGCUUUAUGCAAAAGGUCUCUUGUAACAUAUCAUUGACUAAGUUAUAAUGUGCUGACUUUGAUUUUCCUAUUUGUACACAUGUAUCGUUCUUAUAGAAAUAUGAGGUAUGAACUUGUAUUACUGGUGUAGUCAUACCAGGUGAGGGCAGUCAAUGGGGCAUCAGGAACUUGGUGACUCCCAUUGACAGGACAAUUGGCUGUAAAUGGCCUUGUUUAUCUUAAAGCCUUCCUGCCUAUGGGUCAGGCAACCUAGGAAGAAUGGAGACUGGGGUCUUACACAGACAUGUGACCAUGUCACCUGAUACUGAAAUCCAUCUUGAAGCGGGUACUUUUCCAGAGUGGGGGUGGGAUUCCAAACAAGGGUUUCCCCGCCUUAGGGAAAUUCUAUAUAAGGCGGGGGAAGUAAACAAUGAGGGUCUUCAUCUGGCUUAAGAGAUGGCCUCCCCACCCCAAGGAGAUACCUGAAAGUAUCUGGAAACAAAAGAACUGUAACUACAGGGGUGGGAGAGAACAGGCUGGACCCAGGUCAGAAAAGGCAACUGACCUGGGAAGCAUUUUACUUGAAAUAACAUUGAGGGUGAGAAGUUAUCAUCUGUAACUGAUUUCUUAGUGUAUUAAGCUGAGCCGUGCGUGUUUUGGUUUAUCUUGCUUUAUGAUUUACUUUGUUCUGUCUGUUAUUACUCAAAACAACUCAAAUCCUACUUUUUAUACUUAAUAAAAUUGCUUUUGUUUAUUAAUAAACCCAGUGCAAGUAAUUGUUACCUGGGGGAAAAACAGUUGUGCACGUCUCUCUUUCAGUGAUAUAGAGGGUGAA
Molecule: long non-coding RNA, 3455 nt
Organism: Chelonia mydas (Green sea turtle)
Lineage: Eukaryota; Metazoa; Chordata; Testudines; Cheloniidae
Exons: 3
Source: RefSeq, a predicted model, not a curated record